Oncorhynchus nerka (sockeye salmon) is the source of this 1055-nucleotide long non-coding RNA. RefSeq lists it as uncharacterized. The record is from RefSeq and is a predicted model, not a curated record. Lineage: Eukaryota; Metazoa; Chordata; Actinopteri; Salmoniformes; Salmonidae. The transcript has 2 exons.
UUCUGUCUUCGGGGACGAAGGCAGUGCUAAAAUAAUAUACAACGUUCAUUCGACUGAAACAUGUCUAAACUACAGUCAUUGCGUGAUAUUUUAAAUUAUCAAUUAAAGGUGGCUGCUGUUGAGAAUUUAGGAGCAGUUGAGAAAAUGGUAGCUGAGUAACUUACAGGGUCUGAGAUGAAUGGUCGGCUACUGAAACAGCUCCGGGUUACACGAGAUAAAACUAUGCCGAAUAGACUCCCUGCAGCUCUCUGUCUCUGAAGAGGAGGUUCCCCCUGAGUAGCAGGACUGUGAGUAGGAGGGGAGCCCCAGUCUGGGGCAGGAUAAACUCUUGUGGCAGAUGCAUGUAACAUAAAUGGUAGUAGCAUCUAUUGACUGACUGGGAUGUGACGAUUAUUCUUCUGCUAUGCAGAUUUUUCGUCGCUGAUCAGGAUUUGACUGAGAAUUUCUGUUUUAUAGUGUUGGAGACGUCUCCCCAGAACAUAAUCAAGCAAUCUGACGGUAUAUUUUAUUUCUGUGUGUCUGAGAUUAAGGACAGGAGGACAAACAUGGAGCAGCCACUGUCUCCUGGGGGAAAAAAACGGAUUUGUCAACAACCCCGGUAUCCAAAGGGCUGGAAGAAGAAUGGUGUUGAAUGUGUUGAUGUACAUUUGAUGCAAUAACGAAGAAGAAUGAUUUACUUUUAGGGAAAGAUUAUUCAAUAAAAACUGACUACUACACUGCCUUGGAGGAGCUGAUGGGACCCGUAACCGUUGUCGAUAACCUGACGUCUGUCUGUAGCAACUGCAAAGGUCUGCUCUCCCAGUAUCACAGCUGUAACGCAGAUGCUAUCAUCCAGAAGGCGAGGUCAGUACAGGUGCAUCAAAGCUGGGACCGAGAGACUGAAAAACAGCUUCUAUCUCAAGGCCAUCAGACUGUUAAACAGCCACCACUAACAUUGAGUGGCUGCUGCCAACACACUGACUCAACUCCAGCCACUUUAAUAAUGGGAAUUGAUGGGAAAUGAUGUAAAAUAUAUCACUAUAGCCACUUUAAACAAUGCUACCUAAUAUAAUGUU